Molecule: ribosomal RNA, 792 nt
Filed under: uncultured archaeon
Lineage: Archaea
Description: bacterial SSU rRNA
Rfam family: Archaeal small subunit ribosomal RNA
Source: RNAcentral
ACGGCUCAGUAACACGUAGCUAACCUACUCUAUGGUCUGAAACAACCUCGGGAAACUGAGGCUAAUGUCAGAUAGGAGAUGUUUUCUGGAAUGAUUUAUCUCUCAAAGGAAACGCCGUAGGAUGGGGCUGCGGCUGAUUAGGUAGUUGGCGGGGUAAAUGCCCACCAAGCCGAUGAUCAGUAAGGGCCUUUAGCGAGGAAGCCCUGAGAGGGAGUCUGAGACACUAUUCCCAGCCCUACGGGGUGCAGCAGUCGGGAAAAUUUUGCAAUAUGCGCAAGCGUGACAGAGCAAGUCGGAGUGCUUUUCCGUAUUGGAAAAGCUUUUGUGAGAUGUAAAAAGUCUUACGAAUAAGGACUGGGCAAGACUGGUGCCAGCCGCCGCGGUAAUCCCAGCAGUCCAAGUCGCAGCCACAUUUGUUGGGUCUAAAACAUCCGUAGCUUGCCUUUCAAGUCUUUUGUGAAAUCUGGCCUCUUAAGGGUCGGGCGAGCAAAAGAUACUGUUAGGCUAGAGACCGGGAGACGUAAGGAGUACAGAUAGGGUAGCGGUAAAAUGUGUUGAUCCUAUCUGGACUAACAAUAGCGAAGGCACCUUACGAGAACGGAUCUGACAGUGAGGGAUGAAGGCUAGGGGCGCAAAGUGGAUUAGAUACCCAUGUAGUCCUAGCAGUAAACACUGCACACUAAACAUUAGGGCCUCUUCGAGAGGUUCUAGUGCUGAAGGGAAGCCGAAGAGUGUGCUACCUGGGAAGUAUAGUCGCAAGACCGAAACUUAAAGGAAUUGGCGGGGGAGCAC